This 98-nucleotide transfer RNA is filed under the name compost metagenome. RNAcentral describes it as "tRNA-Sec". It matches the Rfam family "Selenocysteine transfer RNA". The record is from RNAcentral.
GGGGGUGGAGUAGGUCUGGUGGCCUGACGCGUCUUCAAAACGCGAUUUGCCCGGCUAGAACCCGGGUGGGUGGGUUCGAUUCCCACACGCUCCCGCCA